AGUACGCACUUCGGUGCAAUGUACGAGUGGCGAACGGGUGAGUAACACGUGAGAAACCUGCCUCGGAGACCGGGACAACCAUUGGAAACGAUGGCUAAUACCGGAUGUCCUCAUUUGAUCGCAUGAUCUUUUGAGGAAAUGAUCCGUCGCUCCGGGAGGGUCUCGCGGCCUAUCAGCUUGUUGGUGAGGUAAUGGCUCACCAAGGCAUCGACGGGUAGCUGGUCUGAGAGGACGAUCGGCCACACUGGGACUGAGACACGGCCCAGACUCCUACGGGAGGCAGCAGUAGGGAAUCUUGCACAAUGGGCGAAAGCCUGAUGCAGCGACGCCGCGUGGGGGAUGAAGGCCUUCGGGUUGUAAACCCCUUUCAGUAGGGACGAAAAUGACGGUACCUACAGAAGAAGCUCCGGCCAACUACGUGCCAGCAGCCGCGGUAACACGUAGGGAGCAAGCGUUGUCCGGAUUUAUUGGGCGUAAAGAGCUCGUAGGUGGUUCGGUAAGUCGGAUGUGAAAACUCAAGGCUCAACCUUGAGACGCCAUCCGAUACUGCUGUGACUUG
RNAcentral lists this ribosomal RNA (559 nucleotides) under uncultured Actinomycetes bacterium. RNAcentral's name for it is "bacterial SSU rRNA". It matches the Rfam family "Bacterial small subunit ribosomal RNA", at positions 70 to 644 of the family's 1533-position model. Lineage: Bacteria; Bacillati; Actinomycetota; Actinomycetes. The record is from RNAcentral.